RNAcentral lists this microRNA (22 nucleotides) under Oreochromis niloticus (Nile tilapia). RNAcentral describes it as "oni-miR-10828". Lineage: Eukaryota; Metazoa; Chordata; Actinopteri; Cichliformes; Cichlidae. The record is from miRBase by way of RNAcentral.
AAGUCAUCACAGAACUACACUG